GACGAACGCUGGCGGCGUGCUUAACACAUGCAAGUCGAACGGAAAGGCCCUGCUUUUGUGGGGUGCUCGAGUGGCGAACGGGUGAGUAACACGUGAGUAACCUGCCCUUGACUUUGGGAUAACUUCAGGAAACUGGGGCUAAUACCGGAUAGGAGCUCCUGCUGCAUGGUGGGGGUUGGAAAGUUUCGGCGGUUGGGGAUGGACUCGCGGCUUAUCAGCUUGUUGGUGGGGUAGUGGCUUACCAAGGCUUUGACGGGUAGCUGGCCUGAGAGGGUGACCGGCCACAUUGGGACUGAGAUACGGCCCAGACUCCUACGGGAGGCAGCAGUGGGGAAUAUUGCACAAUGGGUGGAAGCCUGAUGCAGCAACGCCGCGUGCGGGAUGACGGCCUUCGGGUUGUAAACCGCUUUCGCCUGUGACGAAGCGUGAGUGACGGUAAUGGGUAAAGAAGCACCGGCUAACUACGUG
This 468-nucleotide ribosomal RNA is filed under the name uncultured bacterium. Its description in RNAcentral is "partial 16S ribosomal RNA". It matches the Rfam family "Bacterial small subunit ribosomal RNA", at positions 28 to 507 of the family's 1533-position model. The record is from RNAcentral.